ACAACUGGGGGAUACCUUAGUCACGGCGAGUGACGCGGUAAAAGCUCAAAUUUGAAAUCUGGUACUUUCAGUGCCCGAGUUGUAAUUUGUAGAAUUUGUCUUUGAUUAGGUCCUUGUCUAUGUUCCUUGGAACAGGACGUCAUAGAGGGUGAGAAUCCCGUUUGGCGAGGAUACCUUUUCUCUGUAAGACUUUUUCGAAGAGUCGAGUUGUUUGGGAAUGCAGCUCAAAGUGGGUGGUAAAUUCCAUCUAAAGCUAAAUAUUGGCGAGAGACCGAUAGCGAACAAGUACAGUGAUGGAAAGAUGAAAAGAACUUUGAAAAGAGAGUGAAAAAGUACGUGAAAUUGUUGAAAGGGAAGGGCAUUUGAUCAGACAUGGUGUUUUUUGCAUGCACUCGCCUCUCGUGGGCUUGGGCCUCUCAGAAAUUUCACUGGGCCAACAUCAAUUCUGGCAGCAGGAUAAAUCAUUAAGAAUGUAGCUACUUCGGUAGUGUUAUAGCUUUUUGGAAUACUGUUAGCCGGGAUUGAGGACUGCUCUUCGGCAAGGAUGUUGGUAUAAUGGUUAAAUGCCGCCGCUAGAAAAAAAGACAAAACAAAAAAACCCCCCCCCAAAAAAAAAAAA
This 619-nucleotide ribosomal RNA is filed under the name Hanseniaspora uvarum. Its description in RNAcentral is "partial 26S ribosomal RNA". It matches the Rfam family "Eukaryotic large subunit ribosomal RNA", at positions 64 to 699 of the family's 3401-position model. Lineage: Eukaryota; Fungi; Ascomycota; Saccharomycetes; Saccharomycodales; Saccharomycodaceae. The record is from RNAcentral.